AAGUCGAGCGGAUGAAGGGAGCUUGCUCCUGGAUUCAGCGGCGGACGGGUGAGUAAUGCCUAGGAAUCUGCCUGGUAGUGGGGGAUAACGUCCGGAAACGGGCGCUAAUACCGCAUACGUCCUGAGGGAGAAAGUGGGGGAUCUUCGGACCUCACGCUAUCAGAUGAGCCUAGGUCGGAUUAGCUAGUUGGUGGGGUAAAGGCCUACCAAGGCGACGAUCCGUAACUGGUCUGAGAGGAUGAUCAGUCACACUGGAACUGAGACACGGUCCAGACUCCUACGGGAGGCAGCAGUGGGGAAUAUUGGACAAUGGGCGAAAGCCUGAUCCAGCCAUGCCGCGUGUGUGAAGAAGGUCUUCGGAUUGUAAAGCACUUUAAGUUGGGAGGAAGGGCAGUAAGUUAAUACCUUGCUGUUUUGACGUUACCAACAGAAUAAGCACCGGCUAACUUCGUGCCAGCAGCCGCGGUAAUACGAAGGGUGCAAGCGUUAAUCGGAAUUACUGGGCGUAAAGCGCGCGUAGGUGGUUCAGCAAGUUGGAUGUGAAAUCCCCGGGCUCAACCUGGGAACUGCAUCCAAAACUACUGAGCUAGAGUACGGUAGAGGGUGGUGGAAUUUCCUGUGUAGCGGUGAAAUGCGUAGAUAUAGGAAGGAACACCAGUGGCGAAGGCGACCACCUGGACUGAUACUGACA
This 691-nucleotide ribosomal RNA is filed under the name Pseudomonas aeruginosa. RNAcentral's name for it is "bacterial SSU rRNA". It matches the Rfam family "Bacterial small subunit ribosomal RNA", at positions 59 to 745 of the family's 1533-position model. The record is from RNAcentral. Lineage: Bacteria; Pseudomonadati; Pseudomonadota; Gammaproteobacteria; Pseudomonadales; Pseudomonadaceae.